UGUGCUUCAAUGUUCCAGGUACCCUUGGU
This 29-nucleotide non-coding RNA is filed under the name Homo sapiens (human). The record is from RNAcentral. Lineage: Eukaryota; Metazoa; Chordata; Mammalia; Primates; Hominidae.